AGGUUCUGUUCAUCCGCUCUGCCACUCCAUUUUGUUGUGAAGUAUAUGCCACCGUGAACUGUCGUUUGAUACCUUCUUUCUUGUAAAAGACAACA
Long non-coding RNA from Ipomoea nil (Japanese morning glory), 95 nucleotides. RefSeq lists it as uncharacterized. The transcript is spliced from 3 exons. The record is from RefSeq and is a predicted model, not a curated record. NCBI's taxonomy places the organism in Eukaryota, Viridiplantae, Streptophyta, Magnoliopsida, Solanales, Convolvulaceae.